This 482-nucleotide ribosomal RNA is filed under the name uncultured bacterium. RNAcentral describes it as "partial 16S ribosomal RNA". It matches the Rfam family "Bacterial small subunit ribosomal RNA", at positions 28 to 523 of the family's 1533-position model. The record is from RNAcentral.
AGUGAACGUUGGCGGCGUGGAUUAGGCAUGCAAGUCGAGCGAGAACCGUAGCAAUACGGGGACAGCGGCGAAAGGGACAGUAAUGUGUAGGUACCUACCUCCGGGUUCGGGAUAGCUGCGGGAAACUGCAGGUAAUACCGAAUAACGUCUCCGGACCAAAGGUGUGAUUCCACCUGGAGAGGGGCCUGCAUCCUAUUAGUUUGUUGGCGGGGUAACGGCCCACCAAGGCGACGAUGGGUAGCGGGUGUGAGAGCACGACCCGCGUCAUUGGGACUGAGACACUGCCCAGACACCUACGGGUGGCUGCAGUCGUGAAUCUUCGGCAAUGGGCGCAAGCCUGACCGAGCGACGCCGCGUGCGGGAUGAAGGCCUUCGGGUUGUAAACCGCUGUCGUAGAGGAGGAAAUGCAGGGGGGUUCUCCCCUCUGUUUGACCUAUUCUAGGAGGAAGUACGGGCUAAGUUCGUGCCAGCAGCCGCAGUAA